GAUGAACGCUGGCGGCGUGCCUAAUACAUGCAAGUCGAGCGAACAGAUGAGGAGCUUGCUCCUCUGACGUUAGCGGCGGACGGGUGAGUAACACGUGGAUAACCUACCUAUAAGACUGGGAUAACUUCGGGAAACCGGAGCUAAUACCGGAUAAUAUAUUGAACCGCAUGGUUCAAUAGUGAAAGACGGUUUUGCUGUCACUUAUAGAUGGAUCCGCGCCGCAUUAGCUAGUUGGUAAGGUAACGGCUUACCAAGGCGACGAUGCGUAGCCGACCUGAGAGGGGGAUCGGCCACACUGGAACUGAGACACGGUCCAGACUCCUACGGGAGGCAGCAGUAGGGAAUCUUCCGCAAUGGGCGAAAGCCUGACGGAGCAACGCCGCGUGAGUGAUGAAGGUCUUCGGAUCGUAAAACUCUGUUAUUAGGGAAGAACAAAUGUGUAAGUAACUAUGCACGUCUUGACGGUACCUAAUCAGAAAGCCACGGCUAACUACGUG
This 497-nucleotide ribosomal RNA is filed under the name uncultured bacterium. Its description in RNAcentral is "partial 16S ribosomal RNA". It matches the Rfam family "Bacterial small subunit ribosomal RNA", at positions 28 to 507 of the family's 1533-position model. The record is from RNAcentral.